GACGAACGCUGGCGGCGUGCUUAACACAUGCAAGUCGAACGGAAAGGCGCGGCGUUUGUGGGGUUCUCGAGUGGCGCGGGGGGGAGUAACACGUGAGGAACCUGUCCUUGACUGUGGGAUAACUUCAGGAAACUGGGGCUAAUACCGGAGAUGAUCUCUUGCUGCGUGUGGGGGGUUGGAAAGUGUCGGCUGUUGGGGCUGGACUCGCGGGUUAUGAGCUUGUUGGGGGGGUAGGGGCGGUCAAAGGUUUUGACGGGUAGCCUGCCUGGGAGGGUGACCGGCCACCUUGGGCCUGCGAUACGGCCCAGAAUCCUACGUGCGGCAGCAGUGGGGAAUAUUGCACAACGGGCGGACGCGUGAUGCAGCAACCCCGCGUGCGGGAUGACGUCCUUCGAGUUGUAAACCGCUUUCGCAUGUGCCGAAGACUGAGUGACGGUACUGGGUCAAGAAGCACCGGCUAACUACGUG
This 468-nucleotide ribosomal RNA is filed under the name uncultured bacterium. Its description in RNAcentral is "partial 16S ribosomal RNA". It matches the Rfam family "Bacterial small subunit ribosomal RNA", at positions 28 to 507 of the family's 1533-position model. The record is from RNAcentral.